This is a non-coding RNA of Caenorhabditis elegans, 21 nucleotides long. The record is from Ensembl. NCBI's taxonomy places the organism in Eukaryota, Metazoa, Nematoda, Chromadorea, Rhabditida, Rhabditidae.
UUUUAAGAGCACAAAUACAAA